CGCUAAUACGUAGGUGACAAGCGUAUCCGGGAUUUAUUGGGCGUAAAGCGAGCGCAGGCGGUUUUUUUAAGUCUGAUGUGAAAGCCCUCGGCUUAACCGAGGAAGCGCAUCGGAAACUGGGAAACUUGAGUGCAGAAGAGGACAGUGGAACUCCAUGUGUAGCGGUGAAAUGCGUAGAUAUAUGGAAGAACACCAGUGGCGAAGGCGGCUGUCUGGUCUGUAACUGACGCUGAGGCUCGAAAGCAUGGGUAGCGAACAGGAUUAGAUACCCUGGUAGUCCAUGCCGUAAACGAUGAAUGCUAGGUGUUGGAGGGUUUCCGCCCUUCAGUGCCGCAGCUAACGCAUUAAGCAUUCCGCCUGGGGAGUACGACCGCAAGGUUGAAACUCAAAGGAAUUGACGGGGGCCCGCACAAGCGGUGGAGCAUGUGGUUUAAUUCGAAGCAACGCGAAGAACCUUACCAGGUCUUGACAUCUUUUGAUCACCUGAGAGAUCAGGUUUCCCCUUCGGGGGCAAAAUGACAGGUGGUGCAUGGUUGUCGUCAGCUCGUGUCGUGAGAUGUUGGGUUAAGUCCCGCAACGAGCGCAACCCUUAUGACUAGUUGCCAGCAUUUAGUUGGGCACUCUAGUAAGACUGCCGGUGACAAACCGGAGGAAGGUGGGGAUGACGUCAAAUCAUCAUGCCCCUUAUGACCUGGGCUACACACGUGCUACAAUGGAUGGUACAACGAGUUGCGAGACCGCGAGGUCAAGCUAAUCUCUUAAAGCCAUUCUCAGUUCGGACUGUAGGCUGCAACUCGCCUACACGAAGUCGGAAUCGCUAGUAAUCGCGGAUCAGCACGCCGCGGUGAAUACGUUCCCGGGCCUUGUACACACCGCCCGUCACACCAUGAGAGUUUGUAACACCCGAAGCCGGUGGCGUAACC
Molecule: ribosomal RNA, 923 nt
Filed under: Lacticaseibacillus casei
Lineage: Bacteria; Bacillati; Bacillota; Bacilli; Lactobacillales; Lactobacillaceae
Description: bacterial SSU rRNA
Rfam family: Bacterial small subunit ribosomal RNA
Source: RNAcentral